Molecule: small nucleolar RNA, 75 nt
Organism: Salarias fasciatus (jewelled blenny)
Lineage: Eukaryota; Metazoa; Chordata; Actinopteri; Blenniiformes; Blenniidae
Source: Ensembl
CUCCAGUGAAGACCUCUCGUUAGAACCACGUGUCCAAACAACUGAUAAAAAUGCUGGGAGUGAGGAACAGAGGAG